This 253-nucleotide ribosomal RNA is filed under the name uncultured bacterium. RNAcentral's name for it is "partial 16S ribosomal RNA". It matches the Rfam family "Bacterial small subunit ribosomal RNA", at positions 524 to 776 of the family's 1533-position model. The record is from RNAcentral.
UACAGAGGGUGCGAGCGUUAAUCGGAAUUACUGGGCGUAAAGCGCGCGUAGGCGGCUUUGCAAGUCGGGUGUGAAAUCCCCAGGCUUAACCUGGGAACUGCAUUCGAGACUGCAUUGCUAGAGUAUGGGAGAGGGAAGUGGAAUUUCCGGUGUAGCGGUGAAAUGCGUAGAUAUCGGGAGGAACACCAGUGGCGAAGGCGGCAACCUGGACAGAUAUUGACGCUGAUGUGCGAAAGCGUGGGGAGCAAACAGG